CAGUAGCCGCGGGAAAACGUAGGUGGCAAGCGUUGUCCGGAAUUAUUGGGCGUAAAGGGCUCGCAGGCGGUUUCUUAAGUCUGAUGUGAAAGCCCCCGGCUCAACCGGGGAGGGUCAUUGGAAACUGGGAAACUUGAGUGCAGAAGAGGAGAGUGGAAUUCCACGUGUAGCGGUGAAAUGCGUAGAGAUGUGGAGGAACACCAGUGGCGAAGGCGACUCUCUGGUCUGUAACUGACGCUGAGGAACGAAAGCGUGGGGAGCGAACAGGAUUAGAUACCCGUGUAGUCCCUGUCUCUUAUAA
Molecule: ribosomal RNA, 301 nt
Filed under: uncultured bacterium
Lineage: Bacteria
Description: partial 16S ribosomal RNA
Rfam family: Bacterial small subunit ribosomal RNA
Source: RNAcentral